This 492-nucleotide ribosomal RNA is filed under the name uncultured bacterium. RNAcentral's name for it is "partial 16S ribosomal RNA". It matches the Rfam family "Bacterial small subunit ribosomal RNA", at positions 29 to 507 of the family's 1533-position model. The record is from RNAcentral.
AGUGAACGCUGGCGGUAUGCCUAACACAUGCAAGUCGAACGGCAGCACAUUAUUAGCUUGCUCGUACGGGUGGCGACUCGCAGACGGCUGCGGAAGACAUCGGAACCUACUUUUUCGUGGGGGAUUACUAAGGGAAACUUACGCUAAUACCGCAUACGACCUACGGGUGAAAGCAGGUGAUCUUCGUACCUUGCGCGGUUGAAUGAGCCGAUGUCGGAUUAGUUAGUAGGCGGGGUAAAGACCGACUAAGGCGACAAUCCGUAGCUGGUCUGAGAGGAUGAUAGGCGACAGUGCGACUGAGACACGGUCCAGACUCCUACGGGAAGACGCAGUGGGGACUAUUGGACAAUGGGCGCAAGCCUGAUCCAGCAAUACCGCGUGGGUGAAGAAGGCCUUCGGGUUGUAAAGCCCUUUUGUUGGGAAAGAAAAGCAGCAGGUUAAUACCCCGCUGUUAUGACGGUACCCAAAGAAUAAGCACCGGCUAACUUCGUG